Molecule: ribosomal RNA, 258 nt
Filed under: uncultured bacterium
Lineage: Bacteria
Description: partial 16S ribosomal RNA
Rfam family: Bacterial small subunit ribosomal RNA
Source: RNAcentral
GACAGAGGAUGCAAGCGUUAUCCGGAAUGAUUGGGCGUAAAGCGUCUGUAGGUGGCUUUUUAAGUCCGCCGUCAAAUCCCAGGGCUCAACCCUGGACAGGCGGCGGAAACUACCAAGCUGGAGUACGGGUAGGGGCGAGAUGGGAAUUUCCGGUGGAGGCGGUAGAAAUGCGUAGAGAUCGGAAAGAACACCAACGGCGAAAGCACUCUGCUGGGCCGACACUGACACUGAGAGACGAAAGCUAGGGGAGCGAAUGGG